UGGGGAAUUUUGGACAAUGGGCGAAAGCCUGAUCCAGCAAUGCCGCGUGUGUGAAGAGGGCCUUCGGGUUGUAAAGCACUUUUGUCCGGAAAGAAAUCCUUGGCUCUAAUACAGUCGGGGGAUGACGGUACCGGAAGAAUAAGCACCGGCUAACUACGUGCCAGCAGCCGCGGUAAUACGUAGGGUGCAAGCGUUAAUCGGAAUUACUGGGCGUAAAGCGUGCGCAGGCGGUUUGCUAAGACCGAUGUGAAAUCCCCGGGCUCAACCUGGGAACUGCAUUGGUGACUGGCAGGCUAGAGUAUGGCAGAGGGGGUAGAAUUCCACGUGUAGCAGUGAAAUGCGUAGAGAUGUGGAGGAAUACCGAUGGCGAAGGCAGCCCCUGGGCCAAUACUGACGCUCAUGCACGAAAGCGUGGGGAGCAAACAGGAUUAGAUACCCUGGUAGUCCACGCCCUAAACGAUGUCAACUAGUUGUUGGGGAUUCAUUUCCUUAGUAACGUAGCUAACGCGUGAAGUUGACCGCCUGGGGAGUACGGUCGCAAGAUUAAAACUUAAAGGAAUUGACGGGGUCAUAGCUGUUUCCU
Molecule: ribosomal RNA, 583 nt
Filed under: uncultured bacterium
Lineage: Bacteria
Description: partial 16S ribosomal RNA
Rfam family: Bacterial small subunit ribosomal RNA
Source: RNAcentral